GAGAGGGAAGGAAGGGGUGACUAGUGACAGAGUGAGGGAGGGUGUGACUAGUGACAGAGAGAGGGAGGGUGUGACUAGUGACAGUCACCCCCUCCCUCACUCUGUCACUAGUCACCCCCUCCCUCACUCUGU
Pelobates cultripes (western spadefoot toad) is the source of this 132-nucleotide non-coding RNA. Lineage: Eukaryota; Metazoa; Chordata; Amphibia; Anura; Pelobatidae. The record is from the annotation of a GenBank genome assembly.